UUCUUUGUGACUGACGGAAUUUGUGGAUAACCACAGGGAAGCAAAGGAUCACAUAAGCCGACCGUCUGGGCACAC
This 75-nucleotide non-coding RNA is filed under the name pig gut metagenome. RNAcentral describes it as "ZMP/ZTP riboswitch". It matches the Rfam family "ZMP/ZTP riboswitch aptamer (pfl RNA motif)". From Rfam's summary of the family: Previously known as pfl RNA. ZMP is also known as AICAR. The record is from RNAcentral.